This 459-nucleotide ribosomal RNA is filed under the name uncultured Gammaproteobacteria bacterium. Its description in RNAcentral is "bacterial SSU rRNA". It matches the Rfam family "Bacterial small subunit ribosomal RNA", at positions 43 to 497 of the family's 1533-position model. The record is from RNAcentral. Lineage: Bacteria; Pseudomonadati; Pseudomonadota; Gammaproteobacteria.
CAUGCCUAACACAUGCAAGUCGAACGAUGAAGUCUAGCUUGCUAGACGGAUUAGUGGCGGACGGGUGAGUAAUGUAUAGGGAUCUGCCUAGUAGUGGGGGACAACAGCCGGAAACGGCUGCUAAUACCGCAUACGCUCUACGGAGGAAAGCGGGGGCUCUUCGGACCUCGUGCUAUUAGAUGAACCUAUAUCAGAUUAGCUAGUUGGUGGGGUAAAGGCCUACCAAGGCGACGAUCUGUAGCUGGUCUGAGAGGAUGAUCAGCCACACUGGGACUGAGACACGGCCCAGACUCCUACGGGAGGCAGCAGUGGGGAAUAUUGGACAAUGGGCGCAAGCCUGAUCCAGCAAUGCCGCGUGUGUGAAGAAGGCCUUCGGGUUGUAAAGCACUUUCAAUAGGGAGGAAAGGUUAUGCGUUAAUACCGUAUAGCUGUGACGUUACCUAUAGAAGAAGCACCGGC